CGGAGACUAGACAACAAGAACAUGAUAAGCCGGAAAAAUGCAGAAUUGAACAAGGUGGUGUUUCUGAUAAGACGGAUAAAAAGGCGAAGAAAGAUGAAGAAAGGAAACCGACAGCACGAAAAUUAUCAACAGAGACUAGACAACAAGAACAUGAUCAGCUGAACAAAGACAAAACUGAACAAGGUGGUGACUCUGAUAAGACGGACAAAAAGGCGA
Mytilus trossulus (common blue mussel) is the source of this 216-nucleotide long non-coding RNA. RefSeq lists it as uncharacterized. Lineage: Eukaryota; Metazoa; Mollusca; Bivalvia; Mytilida; Mytilidae. The transcript is spliced from 4 exons. The record is from RefSeq and is a predicted model, not a curated record.